RNAcentral lists this long non-coding RNA (489 nucleotides) under Anas platyrhynchos platyrhynchos (common mallard). RNAcentral's name for it is "lncRNA (ENSAPLG00000018219.1)". Lineage: Eukaryota; Metazoa; Chordata; Aves; Anseriformes; Anatidae. The record is from RNAcentral.
GUGUUUUUAAGUGAAAAAUCAAUAGUAGUCUGGCAUGCCAGAGUUCAAAGAUGACAAGGAUGACAGGGAGAAUACAUAUGUGGAAGCAGGAUCAUCAGGACUGUCAACUGCCACUUCAGUGUCUGACAGACAGAAGAGGUCCACCCUUUUCAUCAAGGUCAGUCAAGUCAAUCAAGGGAGAAGAACGGAAAAACUGCAUAGCGAUUAGCAGAAGACGGUAUUAAGUGAUUGAUGGCAGAACUCCCAAAGGAUGCAUCAGGAGGAAACAGAUAAUGAUACGUUACUGCACGUUUGUUGAUUAUUUACUUGUACCACAUAUAAGACAACUAUAUAAAGGGUGAAUGAUUUCAUUACUCUUUGUAAUUAGAAUUUUACAGUUGUUCCUAGCUUGAUUUCUUCAUAGAACAUUCAUAAGGACAUUUUGGCAAAUUCAACCUACAGGGACAGAAAUUGAGCCUUAAUUUCAGCUUUAAUAGGGAUCAAUGAAAG